RNAcentral lists this ribosomal RNA (253 nucleotides) under uncultured Geobacter sp. RNAcentral describes it as "partial 16S ribosomal RNA". It matches the Rfam family "Bacterial small subunit ribosomal RNA", at positions 524 to 776 of the family's 1533-position model. Lineage: Bacteria; Pseudomonadati; Thermodesulfobacteriota; Desulfuromonadia; Geobacterales; Geobacteraceae. The record is from RNAcentral.
UACGGAGGGUGCGAGCGUUGUUCGGAAUUAUUGGGCGUAAAGCGCGUGUAGGCGGCUCCUUAAGUCUGAUGUGAAAGCCCUGGGCUCAACCUGGGAAGUGCAUUGGAAACUGGGGAACUUGAAUACGGGAGAGGGUAGUGGAAUUCCUGGUGUAGGAGUGAAAUCCGUAGAUAUCAGGAGGAACACCGGUGGCGAAGGCGGCUACCUGGACCGAUAUUGACGCUGAGACGCGAAAGCGUGGGGAGCAAACAGG